GACGAACGCUGGCGGCGUGCUUAACACAUGCAAGUCGAACGGAAAGGCCCUGCCUUUGUGGGGUGCUCGAGUGGCGAACGGGUGAGUAACACGUGAGUAACCUGCCCUUGACUUUGGGAUAACUUCAGGAAACUGGGGCUAAUACCGGAUAGGAGCUCCUGCUGCAUGGCGGGGGUUGGAAAGUUUCGGCGGUUGGGGAUGGACUCGCGGCUUAUCAGCUUGUUGGUGGGGUAGUGGCUUACCAAGGCUUUGACGGGUAGCCGGCCUGAGAGGGUGACCGGCCACAUUGGGACUGAGAUACGGCCCAGACUCCUACGGGAGGCAGCAGUGGGGAAUAUUGCACAAUGGGCGGAAGCCUGAUGCAGCAACGCCGCGUGCGGGAUGACGGCCUUCGGGUUGUAAACCGCUUUCGCCUGGGACGAAGCGUGAGUGACGGUAAUGGGUAAAGAAGCACCGGCUAACUACGUG
This 468-nucleotide ribosomal RNA is filed under the name uncultured bacterium. RNAcentral describes it as "partial 16S ribosomal RNA". It matches the Rfam family "Bacterial small subunit ribosomal RNA", at positions 28 to 507 of the family's 1533-position model. The record is from RNAcentral.